This 2878-nucleotide ribosomal RNA is filed under the name Stenotrophomonas maltophilia. Its description in RNAcentral is "23S ribosomal RNA". It matches the Rfam family "Bacterial large subunit ribosomal RNA". The record is from RNAcentral. Lineage: Bacteria; Pseudomonadati; Pseudomonadota; Gammaproteobacteria; Lysobacterales; Lysobacteraceae.
GGUCAAGCGAAUAAGCGCACACGGUGGAUGCCUUGGCGGUCAGAGGCGAUGAAGGACGUGGCAGCCUGCGAAAAGUAUCGGGGAGCUGGCAACAAGCUUUGAUCCGGUAAUGUCCGAAUGGGGAAACCCACCCGCUUGCGGGUAUCCUGCAGUGAAUACAUAGCUGCUGGAAGCGAACCUGGUGAACUGAAAUAUCUAAGUAACCAGAGGAAAAGAAAUCAACCGAGAUUCCGUAAGUAGCGACGAGCGAACGCGGACUAGCCCUUAAGCUGGAUUGGUUCUAGGAAAACGCUCUGGAAAGAGCGGCCAUAGAAGGUGAUAGCCCUGUAUCUGAAAGGGCCAUUCCAGUGAAGACGAGUAGGGCGGGGCACGUGAAACCCUGUCUGAACAUGGGGGGACCAUCCUCCAAGGCUAAAUACUACUGACCGACCGAUAGUGAACCAGUACCGUGAGGGAAAGGCGAAAAGAACCCCGGAGAGGGGAGUGAAAUAGAACCUGAAACCGUGUGCGUACAAGCAGUAGGAGCUCCGCAAGGAGUGACUGCGUACCUUUUGUAUAAUGGGUCAGCGACUUACUGUUCGUGGCAAGCUUAACCGUAUAGGGGAGGCGAAGGGAAACCGAGUCUGAUAAGGGCGCAUAGUCGCGGGCAGUAGACCCGAAACCGGGUGAUCUAGUCAUGCCCAGGGUGAAGGUGCGGUAACACGCACUGGAGGCCCGAACCCACUCCCGUUGCAAAGGUAGGGGAUGAGGUGUGAUUAGGAGUGAAAAGCUAAUCGAACCCGGAGAUAGCUGGUUCUCCUCGAAAGCUAUUUAGGUAGCGCCUCAUAUGUAUCCUCUCGGGGGUAGAGCACUGUUAUGGCUAGGGGGUCAUCGCGACUUACCAAACCAUUGCAAACUCCGAAUACCGAGACGGACUGUAUGGGAGACACACGGCGGGUGCUAACGUCCGUCGUGAAAAGGGAAACAACCCAGACCCACAGCUAAGGUCCCAAAUUCACUGCUAAGUGGAAAACCAUGUGGAAAGGCACAGACAGCCAGGAGGUUGGCUUAGAAGCAGCCACCCUUUAAAGAAAGCGUAAUAGCUCACUGGUCGAGUCGGUCUGCGGGGAAGAUUUAACGGGGCUAAGCAGUGAACCGAAGCUUGGGGUGCAUACUUUGUAUGCGCGGUAGAGGAGCGUUCCGUAAGCCGUUGAAGGUGGAUUGAGAAGUCUGCUGGAGGUAUCGGAAGUGCGAAUGCUGACAUGAGUAACGAUAAUGCGGGUGAAAAACCCGCACGCCGAAAGCCCAAGGUUUCCUUGCGCAACGUUAAUCGGCGCAGGGUGAGUCGGCCCCUAAGGCGAGGACGAAAGUCGUAGUCGAUGGGAAGCAGGUUAAUAUUCCUGCACCUCGCGUAAGUGCGAUGGAGGGACGGAGAAGGUUAGGUGUACCAGGCGUUGGUUGUCCUGGGGAAAGGCGGUAGGUUUGGAUCUUUGGCAAAUCCGGGAUCCUUUAAGACCGAGCACCGAGACGAGCCUUUAUGGCGAAGUCACUGAUACCACGCUUCCAGGAAAAGCUCCUAAGCUUCAGCUUACGCAGACCGUACCGUAAACCGACACAGGUGGGUAGGAUGAGAAUUCUCAGGCGCUUGAGAGAACUCGGGUGAAGGAACUAGGCAACAUGGCACCGUAACUUCGGGAGAAGGUGCACCCUUUUUGGUGGCUCGUGCGAGCUAUAGCUGAAGAGGGUCGCAGUAACCAGGCCGCUGCGACUGUUUAUCAAAAACACAGCACUCUGCAAACACGAAAGUGGACGUAUAGGGUGUGACGCCUGCCCGGUGCUGGAAGGUUAAUUGAUGGGGUCAGCCGCAAGGCGAAGCUCUUGAUCGAAGCCCCAGUAAACGGCGGCCGUAACUAUAACGGUCCUAAGGUAGCGAAAUUCCUUGUCGGGUAAGUUCCGACCUGCACGAAUGGCGUAACGACAGCGGCGCUGUCUCCACCCGAGACUCAGUGAAAUUGAAAUCGCUGUGAAGAUGCAGCGUUCCCGUGGCAAGACGGAAAGACCCCGUGAACCUUUACUAUAGCUUUACACUGAACGUUGAGUUCGUCUGUGUAGGAUAGGUGGGAGGCUAUGAAACUGUGGCGCUAGCUGCAGUGGAGCCAUCCUUGAAAUACCACCCUGUCGUGCUUGACGUUCUAACCUGGGCCCAUUAUCUGGGUCGGGGACCGUGUAUGGUGGGUAGUUUGACUGGGGCGGUCUCCUCCUAAAGAGUAACGGAGGAGCUCGAAGGUACGCUCAGCGCGGUCGGACAUCGCGCACUGUGUGCAAAGGCAUAAGCGUGCUUGACUGCAAGAUCGACGGAUCAAGCAGGUAGGAAACUAGGACUUAGUGAUCCGGUGGUUCUGUAUGGAAGGGCCAUCGCUCAACGGAUAAAAGGUACUCCGGGGAUAACAGGCUGAUACCGCCCAAGAGUUCAUAUCGACGGCGGUGUUUGGCACCUCGAUGUCGGCUCAUCACAUCCUGGGGCUGUAGUCGGUCCCAAGGGUAUGGCUGUUCGCCAUUUAAAGUGGUACGCGAGCUGGGUUCAGAACGUCGUGAGACAGUUCGGUCCCUAUCUGCCAUGGGCGUUGGAGAUUUGAGAGGGGCUGCUCCUAGUACGAGAGGACCGGAGUGGACGAACCUCUGGUGUUCCGGUUGUCACGCCAGUGGCAUUGCCGGGUAGCUAUGUUCGGAAGCGAUAACCGCUGAAAGCAUCUAAGCGGGAAGCGCGCCUCAAGAUGAGAUCUCCCGGGGCACAAGCCCCCUGAAGGAACCAUGUAGACUACGUGGUUGAUAGGUCAGGUGUGUAAGUACAGCAAUGUAUUGAGCUAACUGAUACUAAUGAUCCGUGCGGCUUGACCAU